GACGUAGGAUGCGAGCGUUAUCCGGAAUUAUUGGGCGUAAAGAGCUCGUAGGCGGUCUAACGCAUUUUUGCUUAAAUUCUCCAGCUCAACUGGAGAUCAGGCAAAAAGAUGAUUAGACUAGAGGAAAGUAGGGGCAAGCGGAAUUCCCGGUGUAGCAGUGAAAUGCGUUGAUAUCGGGAGGAACACCAAUGGCGAAGGCAGCUUGCUAGACUUUUUCUAACGCUAAGGAGCGAAAGCGUGGGGAGCGAAAGGG
Molecule: ribosomal RNA, 253 nt
Filed under: uncultured bacterium
Lineage: Bacteria
Description: partial 16S ribosomal RNA
Rfam family: Bacterial small subunit ribosomal RNA
Source: RNAcentral